This 403-nucleotide ribosomal RNA is filed under the name Verrucomicrobiota bacterium. RNAcentral describes it as "Verrucomicrobia bacterium partial 16S ribosomal RNA". It matches the Rfam family "Bacterial small subunit ribosomal RNA", at positions 355 to 776 of the family's 1533-position model. The record is from RNAcentral. Lineage: Bacteria; Pseudomonadati; Verrucomicrobiota.
UGGGGAAUAUUGCACAAUGGGGGAAACCCUGAUGCAGCGACGCCGCGUGAGCGAAGAAGGCUUUCGAGUCGUAAAGCCCUGUCCUAUGAGAAGAUAAUGACGGUAUCAUAGGAGGAAGCCCUGGCUAAAUACGUGCCAGCAGCCGCGGUAAUACGUAUGGGGCGAGCGUUGUCCGGAAUUAUUGGGCGUAAAGGGUACGUAGGUGGUUUUUUAAGUCAGGUGUCAAAGCGUGGAGCUUAACUCCAUUAAGCACUUGAAACUGAAAGACUUGAGUGAAGGAGAGGAAAGUGGAAUUCCUAGUGUAGCGGUGAAAUGCGUAGAUAUUAGGAGGAAUACCGGUGGCGAAGGCGACUUUCUGGACUUUUACUGACGCUCAGGUACGAAAGCGUGGGGAGCAAACAGG